Non-coding RNA from Meleagris gallopavo (turkey), 392 nucleotides. The record is from RefSeq and is a predicted model, not a curated record. NCBI's taxonomy places the organism in Eukaryota, Metazoa, Chordata, Aves, Galliformes, Phasianidae.
UGGGCUGUGCUCUCACAGGUUGAGUCCAGAGAUGAACUGUGGUCUCUGCAGGCAUUGCUCCCAUGAAUGCUUCUCUGCUCAGUGGCUGUAUUUGUCCUGCAGCUUUCUUUGGUCCCAUUUCAAACCCAGCACAGGAUUAUAUGAAACGACAACUGGCUCCAUCACGUUCCAAGUGGCUACUGGUGAUGUUACCAAGGAAACUGGAGAUGUCAUCGUAGACAUAUCAAACCAAACUUUCAACCUCUGAACAGACUAAUGAUGGCUAUAUAACCACCAAAGCAGGAAGCUUGCUGUGCAAAAAAAGUCCAUUUUCUUGACCGAGAUGAUAUCCAAGUGUCAGGGUCCAAAAUGCUUCAGGAAUGUGAAUUACAGCAGUACACCUCUGUUACCUU